GUAGGGUGCGAGCGUUGUCCGGAAUUAUUGGGCGUAAAGGGCUCGUAGGCGGUUUGUCACGUCGGGAGUGAAAACUCAGGGCUCAACCCUGAGCCUGCUUCCGAUACGGGCAGACUAGAGGUAUGCAGGGGAGAACGGAAUUCCUGGUGUAGCGGUGAAAUGCGCAGAUAUCAGGAGGAACACCGGUGGCGAAGGCGGUUCUCUGGGCAUUACCUGACGCUGAGGAGCGAAAGUGUGGGGAGCGAACAGGAUUAGAUACCCUGGUAGUCCACACCGUAAACGUUGGGCGCUAGGUGUGGGACUCAUUCCACGAGUUCCGUGCCGCAGCUAASGCAUUAAGCGCCCCGCCUGGGGAGUACGGCCGCAAGGCUA
Molecule: ribosomal RNA, 372 nt
Filed under: uncultured bacterium
Lineage: Bacteria
Description: bacterial SSU rRNA
Rfam family: Bacterial small subunit ribosomal RNA
Source: RNAcentral